Molecule: long non-coding RNA, 328 nt
Organism: Poecilia reticulata (guppy)
Lineage: Eukaryota; Metazoa; Chordata; Actinopteri; Cyprinodontiformes; Poeciliidae
Source: RefSeq, a predicted model, not a curated record
CCAUCCUCCUCUCCCCAUCGAUCACCCAGGGAGUCUGAGGCAGGCUGCGGCAGAACUUGUUGUACCUCCCUGAUCGGUGGGAACACGGGACAGAGACAUGAAGACACUGGAUGUCCUGAGGGGUGCAGCUGCCGCUCUGCUCUGACGGUGGACAGGGAGCUUUGACCACAGCCAUGCGGGUAAACACCGACUGUAGAAAAAAGGAAAAGCAUCGUAGAUGAAGAGGCUAAACACAGCAUCAGUGAAGUACAGAAACUGGACUCUGGCAUCAGUGGACCAGAAGAUAAAGGGGACCUAUUAUGCAAAAUUAACUUUUUUAUGUUUUUUA